This 405-nucleotide ribosomal RNA is filed under the name uncultured bacterium. RNAcentral's name for it is "bacterial SSU rRNA". It matches the Rfam family "Bacterial small subunit ribosomal RNA", at positions 488 to 892 of the family's 1533-position model. The record is from RNAcentral.
AGCACCAGGCUAACUCUGUGCCAGCAGCCGCGGUAAUACAGAGGGUGCGAGCGUUAAUCGGAUUUACUGGGCGUAAAGCGUGCGCGGGCGGCUGAUUAAGUCGGAUGUGAAAUCCCUGAGCUUAACUUAGGAAUUGCGUUCGAUACUGGUCAGCUAGAGUAUGGGAGAGGAUGGUAGAAUUCCAGGUGUAGCGGUGAAAUGCGUAGAGAUCUGGAGGAAUACCGAUGGCGAAGGCAGACAUCUGGCCUAAUACUGACGCUGAGGUACGAAAGCAUGGGGAGCAAACAGGAUUAGAUACCCUGGUAGUCCAUGCCGUAAACGAUGUCUACUAGCCGUUGGGGCCUUUGAGGCUUUAGUGGCGCAGCUAACGCGAUAAGUAGAACGACUGGGGAGUACGGUCGCAAG